Prosopis cineraria is the source of this 1137-nucleotide long non-coding RNA. RefSeq lists it as uncharacterized. Lineage: Eukaryota; Viridiplantae; Streptophyta; Magnoliopsida; Fabales; Fabaceae. The transcript has 3 exons. The record is from RefSeq and is a predicted model, not a curated record.
GCGAGCACACGAGACUUGCUCUCUGUUCUACGGAAUGGUUCGGAGUUGGGGACGCAACGAGGAUUCAAAAAAUAAACCAACAAACUUCAUUUAGGAAUUUCAUUUAGUUUAGAUCAUACUCCCUCCAUUUUCAAAUAUAAAAAAAAAUGAAUUCGUACAAUUUAACGAAAUUGGUUAAAUAUAAUAACUAUAUAUGAAAAAUAAAAAGUUGGGAUUAAAAUAUCCCUGUAAUUAAUAAAAUAAAUUUGUAUGGUAAAAAUAAACAUUGAUUUUAUGAGGAAUAAUUUAAAAAAUAUGUGAUAAAUGCUUCUUUUUUGUAGUUUUGCUUAUAAAUACAAAUAAAAAGAGAUAAGGUAUUUCUUUUAUAUUUAGAGUCAGAGGUAGUAUUAAUUUUUUUUAUAAAAUUUAAUUUUUUUAUUUUUUAAUUACAAUCUUGAACCUUGAAUUGUAAUUUAGAUCAAAUUUAUUAUACUAUAAAUUUAUUUAUUUAUUUAUCAUAAUUUAACAUUUGGACAAAUUGCCUAUAAAGACUUCACCUUCAAAUUAAUUGCUAAAAAAGCGUUGGAGAGUUUUGAAGAAUGAGGUCUUUUAGUGGUAAUGUCGUAGUGACAUUAAAAGAUCAAAAUGUCCCUAGUAGAGAUUUGAAAAUAAAAAAAAAUGUUUGACCAGUAGAAUUUUGAGGGUGGUGGAACUUGCAGAGGAUUGACAAAGAAGACGAAGAAUUGAUAAUACCAACAGCUUGUUAAUUUGUUAGCCACUUGAGGAGUACUCAAGCAAUACCGAGCAACACCGGUGGUGGCAUUUGAGUUGCUGCAUCUUUAGAUAUGAGGGAGACCUUUUGCAUAUGCAAGGAUACUUGUACAUGUUGUUGAAGAUGACUACAUAAAGGGAUAAGAGUUGGAGACAGUUACAGCCCAAUAGAAUGAAGGAAAUGUCACACUUGCAAGUAAGCUGUUUUCCAACUCCAAUUAACUUAUGCAAUACUUGCCUUAUCAAUUAUUUGUUUGAACUUCACCCCAAAAAAUUUAAAAAAAAAAAAAGUUGUUGAAAGAAUGUUUAGUUAAAUAUGAGGGGCUGUUUGAAGAAAAUUUGUUUUUAACUUGUAAGCUAAUCAAAAUCACUCAUCAAAAUAAGCUG